This 67-nucleotide transfer RNA is filed under the name Podarcis lilfordi (Lilford's wall lizard). RNAcentral's name for it is "tRNA.Ile". The record is from RNAcentral. Lineage: Eukaryota; Metazoa; Chordata; Lepidosauria; Squamata; Lacertidae.
GAUUGCUCAGUUGGUUAGAGUAUGGUGCUGAUAACACCAAGGUUACAGGUUCGAUCCCCAAGGAACA